This 460-nucleotide ribosomal RNA is filed under the name uncultured bacterium. Its description in RNAcentral is "partial 16S ribosomal RNA". It matches the Rfam family "Bacterial small subunit ribosomal RNA", at positions 338 to 795 of the family's 1533-position model. The record is from RNAcentral.
CCUACGGGAGGCAGCAGUGAGGAAUAUUGGUCAAUGGACGAGAGUCUGAACCAGCCAAGUAGCGUGAAGGAUGACUGCCCUAUGGGUUGUAAACUUCUUUUAUAAAGGAAUAAAACGAGGCACGUGUGCCUUUUUGCAUGUACUUUAUGAAUAAGGAUCGGCUAACUCCGUGCCAGCAGCCGCGGUAAUACGGAGGAUCCGAGCGUUAUCCGGAUUUAUUGGGUUUAAAGGGAGCGUAGAUGGGUUGUUAAGUUAGUUGUGAAAGUUUGCGGCUCAACCGUAAAAUUGCAAGUGAUACUGGCAGACGUGAGUACAGUUGAGGUAGGCGGAAUUCGUGGUGUAGCGGUGAAAUGCUUAGAUAUCACGAAGAACCCCGAUUGCGAAGGCAGCUUACUAAACUGUGACUGACGUUGAUGCUCGAAAGUGUGGGGAUCAAACAGGAUUAGAUACCCGGGUAGUC